Molecule: transfer RNA, 71 nt
Filed under: Desmognathus wrighti (pygmy salamander)
Lineage: Eukaryota; Metazoa; Chordata; Amphibia; Caudata; Plethodontidae
Description: tRNA-Trp
Rfam family: tRNA
About the family: Transfer RNA (tRNA) molecules are approximately 80 nucleotides in length. Their secondary structure includes four short double-helical elements and three loops (D, anti-codon, and T loops).
Source: RNAcentral
AAAGAUUUAGGUUAACAAGACUAAAGGCCUUCAAAGCCUUAAGUAGAAGUUAAAAUCUUCUAAUCUUUGAC